This 392-nucleotide long non-coding RNA is filed under the name Dasypus novemcinctus (nine-banded armadillo). Its description in RNAcentral is "lncRNA (ENSDNOG00000050317.1)". Lineage: Eukaryota; Metazoa; Chordata; Mammalia; Cingulata; Dasypodidae. The record is from RNAcentral.
GACAGAACGGGCAAGAGGAUUCCAGAGAUGCUGGGGGCAGGGGGCAUCAGGGGCUGUAACCACUGAUGAGAUGUGGGCGGUGAGGAAGAGGAAGGCGUCCAGGGUCAUUUCCUGGUCACCACACAGGUACUGGAGAAGGGCAGUGCCAUUAUGAGGACACGGAGAGAGUGGCAGGAGCAGCAAGGAGGUGGGAGGACUGUCUGAUCCUGUCGGUGCCACGGAGCCAGAAGCCCACAGGAGAAAUGGGAGGUGGCGGCCUGGAACAGGACUAGGACAACUGCGCGAGGGAAAGGCGAGCUGCGGGCGCCUGGGCGCGGGCGGGGCGCAUUUCAUCCCGCCCUGCUCCGGCCUUGGGGGACGCCUCCCCGCCCUGGGCUGGAGCCCGACUGGCA